Molecule: small nuclear RNA, 107 nt
Organism: Callithrix jacchus (white-tufted-ear marmoset)
Lineage: Eukaryota; Metazoa; Chordata; Mammalia; Primates; Cebidae
Source: Ensembl
GUGCUUACUUCAGCAGCACAUCUGCUAAAAUUGGAACCAUACAGAGAAGAUUAGCAUGGCCCCUGAAAAAAUUUUUAAAGAAUUUUUUUAAAUAAAAAUAGUUCAUU